AUGCGCGGGGCGGCGCGGCCGGGGCGGCUGGGCCGGGGCCGCCUCCCGGGGGCCCGCGGCCUGAGGGCCCCGCCGCCGCCGCCGCCGCCGCCGCUGCUGCUCGUACUCGCGAUGCUGCUGCUGCUGCCCGCGCCCGGCUCCGCCGCCGCCGCCGCCGCCGCCGUCCCGGCCCCGCGGCCCCCGGCGCUGCCGCCCGCGGGCGCGGGGCCCAGCGUGAGCCUCUACCUGAGCGAGGACGAGGUGCGCCGGCUGAUCGGUCUUGAUGCAGAACUUUAUUAUGUGAGAAAUGACCUCAUUAGUCAUUAUGCUCUAUCCUUUAACCUGUUAGUACCCACUGAGACAAACUUCCUGCACUUCACUUGGCAUGCGAAGUCCAAGGUUGAAUAUAAGCUGGGAUUUCAAAUAGACAAUUUUGUGGCUAUGGACAUGCCCCAAGUCAACAUUUCUGUUCAGGGGGAAGUUCCACGCACUUUAUCAGUGUUUCGGGUCGAGCUUUCCUGUACUGGCAAAGUAGAUUCUGAAGUUAUGAUAAUAAUGCAGCUCAAUUUGACAGUAAAUUCUUCAAAAAAUUUUACAGUCUUAAAUUUUAAACGAAGGAAAAUGUGCUACAAAAAACUUGAAGAAGUAAAAACUUCAGCCUUGGACAAAAACACUAGCAGAACUAUUUAUGAUCCUGUACAUGCAGCUCCAACCACUUCUACGCGUGUGUUUUAUAUCAGUGUAGGGGUUUGUUGUGCAGUAAUAUUUCUUGUAGCAAUAAUAUUAGCUGUUUUGCACCUUCAUAGUAUGAAAAGGAUUGAACUGGAUGACAGCAUCAGUGCCAGCAGUAGUUCCCAAGGGCUUUCGCAGCCAUCCACCCAGACAACUCAGUAUCUGAGAGCUGACACACCCAACAAUGCAACUCCUAUCACCAGCUCCUCAGGUUAUCCUACCUUGCGGAUAGAGAAGAAUGACUUGAGAAGUGUCACUCUUUUGGAGGCCAAAGCCAAGGUGAAGGAUAUAGCAAUAUCCAGGGAGAGGAUAACUCUAAAAGAUGUAUUGCAAGAAGGUACUUUUGGGCGUAUUUUUCAUGGGAUUUUAGUAGAUGAAAAAGAUCCAAAUAAAGAAAAACAAGCAUUUGUGAAAACAGUUAAAGAUCAAGCUUCUGAAAUUCAGGUGACGAUGAUGCUUACUGAAAGUUGUAAGCUGCGAGGUCUUCAUCACAGAAAUCUUCUUCCUAUUACUCAUGUGUGUAUAGAAGAAGGAGAAAAGCCCAUGGUGAUAUUGCCUUAUAUGAAUUGGGGGAAUCUUAAAUUGUUUUUACGGCAGUGCAAAUUAGUAGAGGCCAAUAAUCCACAGGCAAUUUCUCAACAAGACCUGGUACACAUGGCUAUUCAGAUUGCCUGUGGAAUGAGCUACCUGGCCAGAAGGGAAGUCAUCCACAAAGACCUGGCUGCUAGGAACUGUGUCAUUGAUGACACCCUUCAAGUUAAGAUCACAGACAAUGCCCUCUCCAGAGACUUGUUUCCCAUGGAUUAUCACUGUCUGGGAGACAAUGAAAACAGGCCAGUUCGGUGGAUGGCUCUUGAAAGUCUGGUUAAUAAUGAGUUCUCUAGUGCUAGUGAUGUGAUCUGUGGGCAGUUUGGUAUUAUUGGAGCACCAUGUUCAAGGCAGAGAGUAGCAGAGAGAAGAUUAAAGGGGUAAAUUGCAGAUGUGCUGUAAAGCCACAUUAAUGUGGCUGCAUGACCAGUGCUGGGGCUCCAUGACAUCGACGUGCCCGCAUCUGGAAGGGCAAGAACAGAAGUGGAAAGCAAGUGAUUUCCUUCCAGGUUUGAUGCAGAUCAAGAUGGUGAAAUAGACAGUCCCAAGCAUCACUCUCUCCCACAUCAACCAAUUUACAACUAUUAAAAAGCAACGACAGUCAAGCUGAGACCACUAGUGCCCAGGGGAAGAGGAGGAGAGACCUACGGAGUUCAUGAAGGUGGGAAAAGCCACAAUGAGAGAAAGAAAGACCACUCCAACCAUUUCGGGCUCCUGAUCACCCUGAGGCUGGCCCUGGUGAGCCCACGGAGCAAGAGCUGGCAAAAGCUGCUGCUGCACCCUUUGUAUGAAGUUGCCCAGAGGCUGCAGGUCAGACGAGGGCCUUGGUGGCCCCCAGGCCAGCAAGACCACUAACAGGGUUCCAUGGACCCACAUAAGAGCGAGCUGCCACAAAUAACUGAAAAAAGGAGCCUCUCAGAGGCUGGUGAGUCAUCGCAAGGGACUGGUGCACAGCCAGCACCAGGGGAAGUGUUUGGAAUUUAGAGCGUGGGGGAGACGGGCCCACUGGGGGAACACUGGGGCACAGCAAGGACAGCUGAUCUGCCUCUCCAUCAGCACAGGACUACUCAGUGGAGACUGUUCAGGAACAUAGAACUGCAGGGGAUGCAGUUUACUGAAAAGACUCAGGCCCAGAUCAGAGUUUCCACACAACCGAGGAGUACCAGAUCUCACAAGACCCAGAAGUGUUUACAAGGUCAACAAUUAAAACCUGUGCUGCACAAAAAGCCUUCCCCAGAGAAUCAGCAGCAAAGCAGCAAUUUAGCUCAACCACAGGACUCAAGUGCUGGUCCCCACAGGAAGUUUCCCCAUAUUACAAGUAAGCAGAGGACAAUAAAUUAGUUCUAGUGCAGAGUUUAAGUGGUGGGAACAGUGAAUAAUCCAACACAGAACUGAAAGAAAAAACAAAAAACCCACAGAUCAGAGACAAAGUUCUGAUAUUAACCAGUAAAGGUCUAACACCACCAAAGAACACCUGUAACACCUAGAAGGACAGGAAGCCCUGUGGGCUCCCAAACCUCAGCCUUCCCCCCACCACCAACAUCCGCAUCCAGCCUGGUGAUGACCACCAGGCCGCCACCAGAAGCACCCCAGGCUCUUGAGCUGGGGCAGUGGGGAACUGAAGGACUGGAAGCCCCCCAGACUCCCAAGCUUCAGCCAUGCCCCCCUGAAAUCUGCAUCCAACCCAGCCACGACCAAGCCACCACCAGAAGCCCUCUGGGCUCCCCUGCUGGAAUGAGGGGGGUGCCAUGGACCUUGACCACACCCCCCCUCCUACUCCCACCCUUUCCCCUCUCCCCACUCUCCCAACUGCUCC
This is an RNA transcript of Cynocephalus volans (Philippine flying lemur), 3115 nucleotides long. It is a transcript of the gene named receptor like tyrosine kinase, with no coding region annotated. The transcript has 15 exons. Lineage: Eukaryota; Metazoa; Chordata; Mammalia; Dermoptera; Cynocephalidae. The record is from RefSeq and is a predicted model, not a curated record.